RNAcentral lists this ribosomal RNA (476 nucleotides) under uncultured bacterium. RNAcentral describes it as "bacterial SSU rRNA". It matches the Rfam family "Bacterial small subunit ribosomal RNA", at positions 65 to 583 of the family's 1533-position model. The record is from RNAcentral.
AACGCUCGUAGCAAUACGGGAGUGGCGGACGGGUGAGUAACGCGUGGGAACGUGCCCUGAGGUACGGAAUAACUGCGGGAAACUGCAGCUAAUACCGUAUGAGCCCCGUGAGGGGGAAAGAUUUAUCGCCUUAGGAGCGGCCCGCGUCGGAUUAGCUAGUUGGUGGGGUAACGGCUUACCAAGGCUUCGAUCCGUAGCUGGUCUGAGAGGACGAUCAGCCACACUGGGACUGAGACACGGCCCAGACUCCUACGGGAGGCAGCAGUGGGGAAUCUUGCGCAAUGGGGGCAACCCUGACGCAGCCAUGCCGCGUGAAUGAUGAAGGCCUUAGGGUUGUAAAGUUCUUUUGCCCGUGACGAUGAUGACGGUAACGGGAGAAUAAGCUCCGGCUAACUUCGUGCCAGCAGCCGCGGUAAUACGAAGGGGGCUAGCGUUGUUCGGAAUUACUGGGCGUAAAGCGCGCGCAGGCGGUUCGA